ACGUGGUAUCCUGUCUGAAUAUGGGGGGACCAUCCUCCAAGGCUAAAUACUCCUGACUGACCGAUAGUGAACCAGUACCGUGAGGGAAAGGCGAAAAGAACCCCGGCGAGGGGAGUGAAAAAGAACCUGAAACCGUGUACGUACAAGCAGUGGGAGCACCCUUUGGGGUGUGACUGCGUACCUUUUGUAUAAUGGGUCAGCGACUUAUAUUCUGUAGCAAGGUUAACCGAAUAGGGGAGCCGGAGGGAAACCGAGUCUUAAUUGGGCGUUAAGUUGCAGGGUAUAGACCCGAAACCCGGUGAUCUAGCCAUGGGCAGGUUGAAGGUUGGGUAACACUAACUGGAGGACCGAACCGACUAAUGUUGAAAAAUUAGCGGAUGACCUGUGGCUGGGGGUGAAAGGCCAAUCAAACCGGGAGAUAGCUGGUUCUCCCCGAAAGCUAUUUAGGUAGCGCCUCGUGAAUUCAUCUCCGGGGGUAGAGCACUGUUUCGGCUAGGGGGCCAUCCCGGCUUACCAACCCGAUGCAAACUGCGAAUACCGGAGAAUGUUAUCACGGGAGACACACGGCGGGUGCUAACGUCCGUCGUGAAGAGGGAAACAACCCAGACCGCCAGCUAAGGUCCCAAAGUCAUGGUUAAGUGGGAAACGAUGUGGGAAGGCCCAGACAGCCAGGAUGUUGGCUUAGAAGCAGCCAUCAUUUAAAGAAAGCGUAAUAGCUCACUGGUCGAGUCGGCCUGCGCGGAAGAUGUAACGGGGCUAAACCAUGCACCGAAGCUGCGGCAGCGACGCUGAUGCGUUGUUGGGUAGGGGAGCGUUCUGUAAGCCUGUGAAGGUGGCCUGUGAGGGUUGCUGGAGGUAUCAGAAGUGCGAAUGCUGACAUAAGUAACGAUAAAGCGGGUGAAAAGCCCGCUCGCCGGAAGACCAAGGGUUCCUGUCCAACGUUAAUCGGGGCAGGGUGAGUCGACCCCUAAGGCGAGGCCGAAAGGCGUAGUCGAUGGGAAACGGGUUAAUAUUCCCGUACUUGGUGUUACUGCGAAGGGGGGACGGAGAAGGCUAUGUUGGCCGGGCGACGGUUGUCCCGGUUUAAGCGUGUAGGUGUGUGUUCCAGGUAAAUCCGGUUCACUUUAACACUGAGGCGUGAUGACGAGGCACUACGGUGCUGAAGCAACAAAUGCCCUGCUUCCAGGAAAAGCCUCUAAGCAUCAGGUAACAUCAAAUCGUACCCCAAACCGACACAGGUGGUCAGGUAGAGAAUACCAAGGCGCUUGAGAGAACUCGGGUGAAGGAACUAGGCAAAAUGGUGCCGUAACUUCGGGAGAAGGCACGCUGACACGUAGGUGAAGUGAUUUACUCAUGGAGCUGAAGUCAGUCGAAGAUACCAGCUGGCUGCAACUGUUUAUUAAAAACACAGCACUGUGCAAACACGAAAGUGGACGUAUACGGUGUGACGCCUGCCCGGUGCCGGAAGGUUAAUUGAUGGGGUCAGCGCAAGCGAAGCUCCUGAUCGAAGCCCCGGUAAACGGCGGCCGUAACUAUAACGGUCCUAAGGUAGCGAAAUUCCUUGUCGGGUAAGUUCCGACCUGCACGAAUGGCGUAAUGAUGGCCAGGCUGUCUCCACCCGAGACUCAGUGAAAUUGAACUCGCUGUGAAGAUGCAGUGUACCCGCGGCAAGACGGAAAGACCCCGUGAACCUUUACUAUAGCUUGACACUGAACAUUGAGCCUUGAUGUGUAGGAUAGGUGGGAGGCUUUGAAGUGUGG
This 1760-nucleotide ribosomal RNA is filed under the name Salmonella enterica subsp. enterica serovar Javiana. RNAcentral describes it as "partial 23S ribosomal RNA". It matches the Rfam family "Bacterial large subunit ribosomal RNA", at positions 424 to 2167 of the family's 2925-position model. Lineage: Bacteria; Pseudomonadati; Pseudomonadota; Gammaproteobacteria; Enterobacterales; Enterobacteriaceae. The record is from RNAcentral.